Molecule: ribosomal RNA, 496 nt
Filed under: Exophiala sp. CBS 123150
Lineage: Eukaryota; Fungi; Ascomycota; Eurotiomycetes; Chaetothyriales; Herpotrichiellaceae
Description: eukaryotic LSU rRNA
Rfam family: 5.8S ribosomal RNA (bases 170-324)
Source: RNAcentral
ACCCUUUGUUUACUGAACCUUUUGUUGCUUCGGCGGGCCCGUCGUCUCGCGACGACCGCCGGAGGACCGCCGCGAGGCGUCCUCUGGCCCGCGCCCGCCGGUGGCCAACACACAAAUUCUUCUGUAUGAAUCGUGUCUACUCUAAGUCUUGAUUAUCAAUCAAAAAUAAAACUUUCAACAACGGAUCUCUUGGUUCUGGCAUCGAUGAAGAACGCAGCGAAAUGCGAUAAGUAAUGCGAAUUGCAGAAUUUCAGUGAGUCAUCGAAUCUUUGAACGCACAUUGCGCCCUUUGGUAUUCCGAAGGGCAUGCCUGUUCGAGCGUCAUUAUCACCCCUCGAGCCCCCGGGCUUGGUGUUGGACGGCUUGGUCGCGCCCCCCGGGCACCGACCCCUCCUAAAGACAAUGACGGCGGCCUCGCGGAGCCCCCGGUACAGUGAGCUUCUUAACUGAGCACGUAUCGGAUUUCAGGGCGCCCGGGCCACGGUCCUCUCCCGCU